This 86-nucleotide microRNA precursor is filed under the name Ovis aries (sheep). Its description in RNAcentral is "miRNA (ENSOARG00000022236.1)". The record is from RNAcentral. Lineage: Eukaryota; Metazoa; Chordata; Mammalia; Artiodactyla; Bovidae.
AUAUUGGGUUGGCCAAAAAGUUCAUUUGAAUUUUUCUGUAACAACUUAGGGAAAAACCCGACUGAACUUUUUGGCCAACCCAAGAG